This 252-nucleotide ribosomal RNA is filed under the name uncultured bacterium. RNAcentral describes it as "partial 16S ribosomal RNA". It matches the Rfam family "Bacterial small subunit ribosomal RNA", at positions 524 to 776 of the family's 1533-position model. The record is from RNAcentral.
UACGAAGGGUGCAAGCGUUACUCGGAAUUACUGGGCGUAAAGCGUGCGUAGGUGGUUCGUUAAGUCUGAUGUGAAAGCCCUGGGCUCAACCUGGGAAUGCAUUGGAAACUGGCGACCUAGAGUGCGGUAGAGGGUAGUGGAAUUCCCGGUGUAGCAGUGAAAUGCGUAGAGAUCGGGAGGAACAUCUGUGGCGAAGGCGACUGCCUGGACCAGCACUGACACUGAGGCACGAAAGCGUGGGGAGCAAACAGG